Molecule: non-coding RNA, 73 nt
Organism: Phrynosoma platyrhinos (Desert horned lizard)
Lineage: Eukaryota; Metazoa; Chordata; Lepidosauria; Squamata; Phrynosomatidae
Source: the annotation of a GenBank genome assembly
GUCAGUGUAGUGUAGUGGUUUGAGUAUUAGACUACAGUUCUGGAGACCAGGGUUUAGAUUCCCCUCUCAGCUA